Molecule: long non-coding RNA, 733 nt
Filed under: Volvox carteri
Lineage: Eukaryota; Viridiplantae; Chlorophyta; Chlorophyceae; Chlamydomonadales; Volvocaceae
Description: long non-coding RNA (VCAR_LNC001095)
Source: RNAcentral
ACGACGAACGGGUGGAUGCUGUGCGCCAGAUUGAAUUGUUGCGUCAUGGGACUUGUUCCGAGGUGAGAAAUCUGGACUAUUGGUUGCAGAGAGUAUAUCGCGAGUUUGUGUCAAAAACGCGGGGCGGCGAUGUCCCUGUGCAGUGCCGAAAACAGUUGGAAACAUUGCGAACGGUGUUUUGAGAGACCGUGUGUCCUUACAUACACCCCCUCCCAUGCAGAAGAUUUACAGCUCUCCCCGUUUCGUGCCGCCACGGCACUGAGAGGGAGCGUACCGGGCCUUACCAUCUAAGGCCAUAGGCAAGAGGGUGGAGGGAAGUGUUACACGUGCGAGCAAUGUGGUGACUACGAUUUUGGAUUCCAGUAAGUCGCGUGACAAGCUGAGCCUCACUCGUGUGAUACAUGGUUUGUGCUGACCCAAUUGGUGUAUAUUGAUGUACAGGUCAGCAGAGAUGGUGUGUCUCUUAAGGGCAGAGCAGCUUGUUUGGGGGUCGGUUCACAGUUUCGACAGAUUGCCAACUCAUUGCUGGAUAUUCAAGACAGCCACCUGUAUUGUUGCUGUGGGGCGCUCUGUUGCUGAGACACGCGGGUCGCCAAUCCACACGGAAGUGUCAUGGUUUACAUGGGCCCAGGCGUGCAACGUUUUGUCUCAGUGUUUGGUUGCAUGGGCAGAAUACCAGGGGCAACUUCAUGGGCCAUGUGCAGCGCAAUGGCUCGCCUACAGGGCCGCGAGG